CAGCCGCCACGGUAAUACGUAGGGUGCAAGCGUUAAUCGGAAUUACUGGGCGUAAAGCGUGCGCAGGCGGUUCGGAAAGAAAGAUGUGAAAUCCCAGGGCUCAACCUUGGAACUGCAUUUUUAACUACCGGACUAGAGUAUGUCAGAGGGAGGUGGAAUUCCACGUGUAGCAGUGAAAUGCGUAGAUAUGUGGAGGAACACCGAUGGCGAAGGCAGCCUCCUGGGAUAAUACUGACGCUCAUGCACGAAAGCGUGGGGAGCAAACAGGAUUAGAUACCCCCGUAGUCCCUGUCUCUUAUAC
This 301-nucleotide ribosomal RNA is filed under the name uncultured bacterium. RNAcentral describes it as "partial 16S ribosomal RNA". It matches the Rfam family "Bacterial small subunit ribosomal RNA", at positions 509 to 807 of the family's 1533-position model. The record is from RNAcentral.